GAGGGUAGAGCUCAGUGGUAGAGCGUGUGCUUAGCAUGCAUGAGGUCUUGGGUUCAAUCCCCAGUACCUCUG
This 72-nucleotide transfer RNA is filed under the name Camelus ferus (Wild Bactrian camel). It matches the Rfam family "tRNA". Rfam says of the family: Transfer RNA (tRNA) molecules are approximately 80 nucleotides in length. Their secondary structure includes four short double-helical elements and three loops (D, anti-codon, and T loops). Further hydrogen bonds mediate the characteristic L-shaped molecular structure. tRNAs have two regions of fundamental functional importance: the anti-codon, which is responsible for specific mRNA codon recognition, and the 3' end, to which the tRNAs corresponding amino acid is attached (by aminoacyl-tRNA synthetases). tRNAs cope with the degeneracy of the genetic code in two manners: having more than one tRNA (with a specific anti-codon) for a particular amino acid; and 'wobble' base-pairing, i.e. permitting non-standard base-pairing at the 3rd anti-codon position. The record is from Rfam by way of RNAcentral. Lineage: Eukaryota; Metazoa; Chordata; Mammalia; Artiodactyla; Camelidae.